UACGUAGGUGGCAAGCGUUGUCCGGAUUUACUGGGCGUAAAGAGCGCGCAGGCGGUCAGAUAAGUCGAAUGUGAAAUCCCCCGGCUCAACCGGGGAAUGGCUGGAUAUACUGGCGGUCUUGAGCAGUUCAGGGGCAGAUGGAACAGACGGUGGAGCGGUGAAAUGCGUAGAUAUCGUCUGGAACGCCAAAGGUGAAGACAGUCUGCUGGGAACUUGCUGACGCUGAGACACGAAAGCCAGGGGAGCGAACGGG
Molecule: ribosomal RNA, 253 nt
Filed under: uncultured bacterium
Lineage: Bacteria
Description: partial 16S ribosomal RNA
Rfam family: Bacterial small subunit ribosomal RNA
Source: RNAcentral